RNAcentral lists this ribosomal RNA (497 nucleotides) under uncultured bacterium. RNAcentral describes it as "partial 16S ribosomal RNA". It matches the Rfam family "Bacterial small subunit ribosomal RNA", at positions 28 to 507 of the family's 1533-position model. The record is from RNAcentral.
GAUGAACGCUGGCGGCGUGCCUAAUACAUGCGAGUCGAGCGAACAGACGAGGAGCUUGCUCCUCUGACGUUAGCGGCGGACGGGUGAGUAACACGUGGAUAACCUACCUAUAAGACUGGGAUAACUUCGGGAAACCGGAGCUAAUACCGGAUAAUAUAUUGAACCGCAUGGUUCAAUAGUGAAAGACGGUUUUGCUGUCACUUAUAGAUGGAUCCGCGCCGCAUUAGCUAGUUGGUAAGGUAACGGCUUACCAAGGCAACGAUGCGUAGCCGACCUGAGAGGGUGAUCGGCCACACUGGAACUGAGACACGGUCCAGACUCCUACGGGAGGCAGCAGUAGGGAAUCUUCCGCAAUGGGCGAAAGCCUGACGGAGCAACGCCGCGUGAGUGAUGAAGGGCUUCGGAUCGUAAAACUCUGUUAUUAGGGAAGAACAAAUGUGUAAGUAACUAUGCACGUCUUGACGGUACCUAAUCAGAAAGCCACGGCUAACUACGUG